RNAcentral lists this ribosomal RNA (486 nucleotides) under uncultured bacterium. RNAcentral describes it as "partial 16S ribosomal RNA". It matches the Rfam family "Bacterial small subunit ribosomal RNA", at positions 28 to 507 of the family's 1533-position model. The record is from RNAcentral.
GACGAACGCUGGCGGCGUGCUUAACACAUGCAAGUCGAACGCUGAAGACCUGGCUUUUGUUGGGUUGGAUGAGUGGCGAACGGGUGAGUAACACGUGAGUAACCUGCCCUCUUCUUUGGGAUAACGCCCGGAAACGGGUGCUAAUACUGGAUAUUCACUGGCCUUCGCAUGGGGGUUGGUGGAAAGGUUUGUUCUGGUGGGGGAUGGGCUCGCGGCCUAUCAGCUUGUUGGUGGGGUGAUGGCCUACCAAGGCUUUGACGGGUAGCCGGCCUGAGAGGGUGACCGGUCACAUUGGGACUGAGAUACGGCCCAGACGCCUACGGGAGGCAGCAGUGGGGAAUAUUGCACAAUGGGCGAAAGCCGGAUGCAGCGACGCCGCGUGAGGGAUGGAGGCCUUCGGGUUGUAAACCUCUUUCGCUCAUGGUCAAGCCGCAACUGUGGGUUGUGGUGAGGGUAGUGGGUAAAGAAGCGCCGGCUAACUACGUG